Pseudoliparis swirei is the source of this 1206-nucleotide long non-coding RNA. RefSeq lists it as uncharacterized. The record is from RefSeq and is a predicted model, not a curated record. NCBI's taxonomy places the organism in Eukaryota, Metazoa, Chordata, Actinopteri, Perciformes, Liparidae. The transcript is spliced from 5 exons.
AAGAACCUCAACCUGACUGGCAGACACAUGAUGUCAGAAUAAUUAGAUCAUGCGAUGAUUACUUGGUGGCAAGGCGAUGGUUAACAAAAUAUAUGUCCUGUGACACAUCUGAUCUCCAUUCAGAAGAGGAGGCAAUUCCUAAAAGGAGAAAGCCAAUGCCUGUCCAUUUCUUUGGGGACUCGGAUGCAGACAGCGAGACUGAAAAUCGCCACCCCAAAAAAAAAAAAGGGUCCAACCACUAGCAGGACAGUUGCCCCUCCUCCAACUAUUGCCCCUCCUCCACCUAUUGCCCCUCCUCCACCUCUUGCCCCUCCUCCACCACGGACUUCAUCACCAGCAGGACAGCGAACAAGCCAUGCAGGGGACACGCCAACCUGGCGAGGGGCGAGGUGUGGUUCAGACACCAUUGCCUGCUGUGCUGCUCAAGUUCAAAUGAUGGCCAUGCUGGAGACGCUUACACAGCAGGUCCAUCAAUUAACACAGCAGGUCCAUCAAUUAACACAGCAGGUCCAUCAAUUAACUUCCAAAGUUGACAGCUUUGUUCGCCCCAGCGUGACACAAAUGUCUGGUCAAGAAGUGGAGUGGAGAGACCCGUUUCCGUUGACCACAAUGGAGGAAGUGGACAUGUUUGAGCAACAGCUCAAAGAUCCAGCCAACGCUUUAAUGAAGAAGAGUGUGAUUUCCUCCCUGGGAACAAUCGGAGGACUGAACCACUGAACAUGAUUGUAGUUCUCUAAAUGAGACAGACACGGACAAGUAGAGUCUUUAUGAUUGGCAGAGGUUCUCAUCUAGACUGACGUUGUCCCCACUGAGGCAGCAGCUGGAGCUCGCAGCGUGACGACCCACAGCCUCCUUGUUUCACACAGAGCUGACAGCAUCGGUGUCGUGACGUAGCCGCGCGUCCAUCGAUGACUCAGACCCUUGUUAAUGUCACACUCAAUUUCGUGGACCGCCACCGGGACCAUCUGGGAUAUUCGUGCGACAGAUAACUAGCUGUGUUGGACUGCAGAUGGAAACCUGAGUUCAGAUCUGUCCCACUCAGCAGAUUCCGGCUGCGGAGCCUGAACGUCACACCUGCUGUGAAGUUUGAUCAUGGAUCAGCCCCCGUAACCAGAUCCGCUAUCUUACUUUCAUUAUUAAUUCAUGCUGUAGUUACUCACUUGAUGGCCUCUUUUAAAUGGGUGUGAUAAAGAUUGCGUGUGGGUG